RNAcentral lists this long non-coding RNA (201 nucleotides) under Carica papaya (papaya). Its description in RNAcentral is "long non-coding RNA (CPAP_LNC008814)". The record is from RNAcentral. Lineage: Eukaryota; Viridiplantae; Streptophyta; Magnoliopsida; Brassicales; Caricaceae.
CCGCGUGGCAGAGAUGCUGACGCUGGAGGCCACGCGGAAGGGAGCCACGUGGGCAAUCCACGUGCGUGCGAUUGAACGGCCGAGAUCCAUUCCCGCGCGCACGGACGGCCUAGAUCAAAGGCGCGUGCGGACGGCCCAGGUUGCACGUGUAUGAACGGCCCAGAUUGAAUCGCGCACAGACGGCUCAAAUCGCAUCGCGAU